ACUCCUACGGGAGGCAGCAGUGAGGAAUAUUGGACAAUGGGUGGAAGCCUGAUCCAGCCAUCCCGCGUGCAGGAAGACGGCCCUAUGGGUUGUAAACUGCUUUUAUCUGGGGAUAAACCUACUUACGUGUAAGUAGCUGAAGGUACCAGAAGAAUAAGCACCGGCUAACUCCGUGCCAGCAGCCGCGGUAAUACGGAGGGUGCAAGCGUUAUCCGGAUUUAUUGGGUUUAAAGGGUCCGUAGGCGGACUGAUAAGUCAGUGGUGAAAUCCGACAGCUUAACUGUCGAACUGCCAUUGAUACUGUUAGUCUUGAGUAAGGUUGAAGUGGCUGGAAUAAGUAGUGUAGCGGUGAAAUGCAUAGAUAUUACUUAGAACACCAAUUGCGAAGGCAGGUCACUAAGUCUUAACUGACGCUGAUGGACGAAAGCGUGGGGAGCGAACAGGAUUAGAAACCCCUGUAGUCC
Molecule: ribosomal RNA, 464 nt
Filed under: uncultured organism
Description: partial 16S ribosomal RNA
Rfam family: Bacterial small subunit ribosomal RNA
Source: RNAcentral